RNAcentral lists this non-coding RNA (160 nucleotides) under human gut metagenome. The record is from RNAcentral.
AAGGUGUCCACAACGGACUCAAUAGGGAACCGGGUGAAAGUCCCGGACAGUUCCCGCUGCUGUAAAUUCAUAAAGCACCUGUCAAUACGUCACUGGACGUCUCAAACAUCCGGGAAGACAACAGGCGUAAGGAAUAAGUCAGAAGACCUACCUCUCACUA